GGAGCAUGGCUCUAUGGCAGAGCAUUUUGAUUUGAAGUUAGAAAGUCCCAGGUUCAAUUCCUUGCAGAUCCA
Molecule: transfer RNA, 72 nt
Filed under: Sphaerodactylus townsendi
Lineage: Eukaryota; Metazoa; Chordata; Lepidosauria; Squamata; Sphaerodactylidae
Description: tRNA-Ser
Source: RNAcentral